UGGGGAAUCUUGCACAAUGGGGGAAACCCUGAUGCAGCGACGCCGCGUGAACGAUGAAGCCCUUCGGGGUGUAAAGUUCUUUCGACAGGAACGAUAAUGACGGUACCUGGAGAAGAAGCUGCGGCUAACUACGUGCCAGCAGCCGCGGUAAUACGUAGGCAGCGAGCGUUGUUCGGAGUUACUGGGCGUAAAGAGUGCGUAGGCGGCGAGCCAAGUUUGGUGUGAAAUCUCCCGGCUUAACCGGGAGGGUGCGCCGAAAACUGGUUGGCUGGAGUAUGGGAGAGGAAAGCGGAAUUCCUGGUGUAGCGGUGAAAUGCGUAGAUAUCAGGAGGAACACCGGCGGUGUAGACGGCUUGCUAGACCAUAACUGACGCUGAGGCACGAAAGCGUGGGUAGCAAACA
This 402-nucleotide ribosomal RNA is filed under the name uncultured bacterium. RNAcentral describes it as "bacterial SSU rRNA". It matches the Rfam family "Bacterial small subunit ribosomal RNA", at positions 355 to 774 of the family's 1533-position model. The record is from RNAcentral.